GACGAACGCUGGCGGCGUGCUUAACACAUGCAAGUCGAACGGAAAGGCCCUGCUUUUGUGGGGUGCUCGAGUGGCGAACGGGUGAGUAACACGUGAGUAACCUGCCCUUGACUUUGGGAUAACUUCAGGAAACUGGGGCUAAUACCGGAUAGGAGCUCCUGCUGCAUGGUGGGGGUUGGAAAGUUUCGGCGGUUGGGGAUGGACUCGCGGCUUAUCAGCUUGUUGGUGGGGUAGUGGCUUACCAAGGCUUUGACGGGUAGCCGGCCUGUGAGGGUGACCGGCCACAUUGGGACUGAGGUACGGCCCAGACGCCUACGGGAGGCAGUAGUGGGGAAUAUUGCACAAUGGGCGAACGCCUGAUGCAGAAACGCCGCGUGCGGGAAGACGGCCUUCGGGUUGUAAACCGCUUUCGCCUGUGACGAAGCGGGAGUGACGGUAAUGGGUAAAGAAGCACCGGCUAACUACGUG
RNAcentral lists this ribosomal RNA (468 nucleotides) under uncultured bacterium. Its description in RNAcentral is "partial 16S ribosomal RNA". It matches the Rfam family "Bacterial small subunit ribosomal RNA", at positions 28 to 507 of the family's 1533-position model. The record is from RNAcentral.